Molecule: ribosomal RNA, 492 nt
Filed under: uncultured bacterium
Lineage: Bacteria
Description: partial 16S ribosomal RNA
Rfam family: Bacterial small subunit ribosomal RNA
Source: RNAcentral
AGUGAACGCUGGCGGUAGGCCUAACACAUGCAAGUCGAACGGCAGCACAGUAAGAGCUUGCUCUUACGGGUGGCGAGUGGCGGACGGGUGAGGAAUACAUCGGAAUCUACUUUUUCGUGGGGGAUAACGUAGGGAAACUUACGCUAAUACCGCAUACGACCUACGGGUGAAAGCAGGGGAUCUUCGGACCUUGCGCGAUCGAAUGAGCCGAUGUCGGAUUAGCUAGUUGGCGGGGUAAAGGCCCACCAAGGCGACGAUCCGUAGCUGGUCUGAGAGGAUGAUCGGCCACACUGGAACUGAGACACGGUCCAGACUCCUACGGGAGGCAGCAGUGGGGAAUAUUGGACAAUGGGCGCAAGCCUGAUCCAGCCAGACCGCGUGGGUGAAGAAGGCCUUCGGGUUGUAAAGCCCUUUUGUUGGGAAAGAAAAGCAGCAGGUUAAUACCCCGCUGUUCUGACGGUACCCAAAGAAUAAGCACCGGCUAACUUCGUG